GCUUCGAGACAGGGGUGGCUUAAAACAAGAGCCUGAGAUCAUACCCUUUGAACCUGAUGCGGAUAAUGCCGUCGAAGGGAGCCGGAAUUCUGAAAUU
RNAcentral lists this non-coding RNA (97 nucleotides) under Lentisphaerota bacterium. RNAcentral describes it as "Lentisphaerae bacterium TPP sequence". It matches the Rfam family "TPP riboswitch aptamer (THI element)". From Rfam's summary of the family: Vitamin B(1) in its active form thiamin pyrophosphate (TPP) is an essential coenzyme that is synthesised by coupling of pyrimidine and thiazole moieties in bacteria. The record is from RNAcentral. Lineage: Bacteria; Pseudomonadati; Lentisphaerota.